CAUGAAGUAUACAAUGAGCACCAGCUAAGGCCCUUAAAGGUCAAGGUUGGCUGGUGAGAUGAUAGAGGAUAAGCUUCAUCUUUGAAAGGGAAAUAGCGUGGAUCACUAGCUAAGGCUCCUAGAUGAUUGCUUAGUGAUAAAGAAGGUAAAGAGUGCAGAGACAACCAGGAGGUUUGCCUAGGAGUAGCCACCCUUGAAAGAGUGCAUAAUAACUCAUUGAUCGAGCACUCUUAUGCUGAAGAUGAACGAGGCUAAUCAAUCUAUUGAAGCUGUGGGAAGAAGUGGAAAUG
Molecule: non-coding RNA, 290 nt
Filed under: Vitis vinifera (wine grape)
Lineage: Eukaryota; Viridiplantae; Streptophyta; Magnoliopsida; Vitales; Vitaceae
Description: Bacterial large subunit ribosomal RNA
Rfam family: Bacterial large subunit ribosomal RNA
Source: Rfam by way of RNAcentral